Long non-coding RNA from Tigriopus californicus, 852 nucleotides. RefSeq lists it as uncharacterized. The transcript is spliced from 2 exons. Lineage: Eukaryota; Metazoa; Arthropoda; Copepoda; Harpacticoida; Harpacticidae. The record is from RefSeq and is a predicted model, not a curated record.
UUUGAAUGACACAGAGCUUGCAAAUGUAGGAUUGUGAGGCGAUCUUGCAGUCUGUGCGUGUAGCCCUUUGUUGCUGGCUUGUUAAGGGUGUCUUAACAAAUAUCUUAAAAGCAAUCAAGAUAGCAGAUAAAGAGGCCAAAACCGACCCAGCCACGUCUCUUUGGCUUUCUAUCUAAUUUGGGCUCCAUAUAAGAUGUGACAUUUUUCCCGUCCAAAUCAUCAGUUCUUGACUGUUUCUUCAGCGUAACGGAAAAAGUCCUCAUGAAGUCCCUUGCCGGAUUGGGUUCUCUUCUGCUUGUCGUGGGUUUGAUCAAUGUGGCUCAAUGUAGACACCAGCAAUUCCAUUUCCCCUUUGCAUUUGUAGAUACCAUGAAUGAUCAUGGAUUUUAUGAUGCCAUCAUGGAGUCUCUCCUUAAAAAAUGCCGAGCAUUGAAUCAAGAUGAGGCAUCUAGGCCGCAAUGUGCAAUACUUCGAAUGCAAAAUGGCAACGGAGAAUUAACUAUUCCACCUUAUAGACUCGUAAUAGACUACUUUGUUGACUCUUGCAUGUGUUUGAAACGAGGAAUGUAUCAGCCAAUAUGGUGCCAAGAGCUUGAAAAAUCCAAUGGAGGGUAUAUUAAGCUACCAUUUUGGGCAUUGCAGCACCUAGCGAAGAAAAGCUUGCCGACCACAUGUGGGGAGGUUAAUUCGAGUGCUGUAGGAGGCGAUACGGAGAUUUGGUGCUCGCUUUUCGGAUAUUUUUGAAAAAAAGCAUUGACCUUUUCUCUACCUCUAUCAACGACCUCUUGAUAAAUUGUGAUCAAUUCAUGUCAAUCAAAGCUAUUGGAAAUAUGUGAUGAAUAUGCAGAUCAA